CUAACCGGGGACAUAGCGGAGCCUUGUACCUGCAAUCCGCUACAGCAGGGGUGAAUUCCCGUUCUGAGGGAAAUUUUCGUGCGGUCUUGCUUUUUGUUUUUCCGUGUUGAGACGCGAGUCUUGCGCAAUCGGCUCUCUCGAACCAUGUCAGGUGGGGAACCAAGCAGCAUUAAGGGAUGCUUGCCGAUGUGCCGCAGGGGCGCUUGCGUUGAGCGGAGAGCAAAGGUUGCGCGCACGGCGA
Molecule: signal recognition particle RNA, 241 nt
Filed under: human gut metagenome
Description: Bacterial large signal recognition particle RNA
Rfam family: Bacterial large signal recognition particle RNA
About the family: The signal recognition particle (SRP) is a universally conserved ribonucleoprotein involved in the co-translational targeting of proteins to membranes.
Source: RNAcentral